Molecule: ribosomal RNA, 253 nt
Filed under: uncultured bacterium
Lineage: Bacteria
Description: partial 16S ribosomal RNA
Rfam family: Bacterial small subunit ribosomal RNA
Source: RNAcentral
GACGUAGGGCGCGAGCGUUGUCCGGAUUUAUUGGGCGUAAAGAGCUCGUAGGCGGCUUGUCGCGUCUGUCGUGAAAGCUUGGGGCUUAACCCCAAGUCUGCGGUGGAUACGGGCAGACUAGAGGCAGGUAGGGGAGAACGGAAUUCCCGGUGUAGUGGUGGAAUGCGUAGAGAUCGGGAGGAACACCAGUGGCGAAGGCGGCUCGCUGGACCGGUCCUGACGCUCAGGCGCGAAAGCGUGGGGAGCGAUCCGG